Molecule: long non-coding RNA, 227 nt
Filed under: Solanum tuberosum (potato)
Lineage: Eukaryota; Viridiplantae; Streptophyta; Magnoliopsida; Solanales; Solanaceae
Description: long non-coding RNA (STUB_LNC007260)
Source: RNAcentral
CCCAGAAAACCUAGAUGAAACCCUUAACCUAAAACCUUAAAACCAUAAACCUAAAAAAAUCCUAAGCCCUAAACCUUAACCUAAAACCCUAAAUCCUAAACCUAAAACACUAGGAAAACCUAAACCCUAAACCUUACAAGACUCUAAAUCCUAUAAACCCUAAAAAUCAUUUAAAACCACCACAAAACACUAAGCUCUAAACUCUAAAUCCUAAAAAACUAUAAGCC